GAUGAACGCUAGCUACAGGCUUAACACAUGCAAGUCGAGGGGUAACGAGAGGAAAGCUUGCUUUCCUUGUCGACGACCGGCGCACGGGUGAGUAACGCGUAUCCAACCUGCCCCCAACUAGGGAAUAACCUUGCGAAAGUAAGACUAAUACCCUAUAAUUUCCUCAGAUGUCAUCUGACGAGGAAUAAAGAUUUAUCGGUUGUGGAUGGGGAUGCGUAUGAUUAGCUUGUUGGAGGGGUAACGGCCCACCAAGGCAACGAGCAGUAGGGGUUCUGGUAGGAAGGUCCGCCACAUUGGAACUGAGACACGGUCCAAACUCCUACGGGAGGCAGCAGUGAGGAAUAUUGGUCAAUGGGCGAAAGCUUGAACCAGCCAAGUAGCGUGCAGGAUGACGGCGCUAUGGGUUGUAAACUGCUUUUAUACAGGAAUAAAGUUAGCCACGUGUUGUUAUUUGUAGAUACUGUAUGAAUAAGGACCGGCUAAUUCCGUGCCAGCCGCCGCCGUAA
Molecule: ribosomal RNA, 506 nt
Filed under: uncultured bacterium
Lineage: Bacteria
Description: partial 16S ribosomal RNA
Rfam family: Bacterial small subunit ribosomal RNA
Source: RNAcentral